RNAcentral lists this ribosomal RNA (479 nucleotides) under uncultured bacterium. RNAcentral describes it as "bacterial SSU rRNA". It matches the Rfam family "Bacterial small subunit ribosomal RNA", at positions 328 to 793 of the family's 1533-position model. The record is from RNAcentral.
UCAGUCGACUCCUACGGGGAGGCAGCAGUGGGGGAAUAUUGCACAAUGGGCGCAAGCCUGAUGCAGCCAUGCCGCGUGUAUGAAGAAGGACCUUCGGGUUGUAAAGUACUUUCAGCAGUGAGGAAGGUGGAGUCGUUAAUAGCGGCCUCAUUUGACGUUAGCUGCAGAAGAAGCACCGGCUAACUCCGUGCCAGCAGCCGCGGUAAUACGGAGGGUGCGAGCGUUAAUCGGAAUUACUGGGCGUAAAGCGCAUGCAGGUGGUUUGUUAAGUCAGAUGUGAAAGCCCGGGGCUCAACCUCGGAAUUGCAUUUGAAACUAGGCAGACUAGAGUACUGUAGAGGGGGGUAGGAAUUUCAGGUGUAGCGGUGAAAUGCGUAGAGAUCUGAAGGAAUACCGGUGGCGAAGGCGGCCCCCUCGGACAGAUACUGACACUCAGAUGCGAAAGCGUGGGGAGCAAACAGGAUUAGAUACCCUGGUAG